AAGCAAUAAGCUUUUUGGAGUGUUACCAACAUGUUUGGGAAAUAUGACUUCUCUUAGAAAGUUUCACAUAGGAUCUAAUAGGUUAACCUCUGAGAUACCUUCUUCCUUUUGGAAUCUCGAAGAUAUUUUAGAGGUAGACCUAUCUUCUAAUGCUUUAAUUGCAAAUCUUCCACCUGAGAUUAAGAAUUUGAGAGUUCUUGUACUAUUAGACUUGUCAAGAAAUCAAAUUUCAAGAAACAUUCCAACAGCCAUAAGUUUAUUGAACACUUUAGAAACUCUCUCCUUGGCAGCUAACAAAUUGAGUGGGCCUAUCCCAACAUCACUUGGUGAAAUGUUAAGCUUGAGUUUCUUGGACUUGUCUCAAAAUCUUCUUACUGGUGCGAUCCCAAAAUCCUUAGAGUCACUUUCUUAUCUUAAAUACAUUAACUUUUCAUACAAUAGAUUGCAAGGAGAGAUUCCUAAUGGAGGACCUUUCAAAAAAUUCACAUCUCAAUCUUUCAUGCAUAAUGAAGCACUUUGUGGCAGUUCUCACUUACAAGUACCUCCAUGUGAUAAACAUAGGAAAAAGUCAAAGAUGUUAUUAAUCAUAUUGAUAUCAUCCAUAAUUGUUGUGCUAUGUAUUUUGGUUGUUGCAUGCAUAAUACUUCGAAUGCAUAAAAGGAGAAAGGGUAAAAAUUCACUUGAAAGGGGUUUACACACUAUAGGAGUUCCAAAAAGGAUUUCCUAUUAUGAACUAGUGCAAGCAACUAAUGGAUUCAGUGAGAGUAAUUUACUUGGAAGGGGUGGCUUUGGAUCCGUGUAUCAAGGAAUGCUUUCUAGUGGGAAGAUGAUAGCAAUUAAAGUACUUGACUUGACAAUGGCAGAAGCAUCAAGAAGCUUUGAUGCAGAAUGCAAUGCAAUGCGCAACCUUCGACAUAGAAAUCUAGUUCAAAUUAUGAGUAGUUGUUCAAAUCCUGAUUUCAAAUCUCUAGUGAUGGAGUUUAUGUCAAAUGGAAGUGUGGAAAGAUGGUUAUACUCUGAUAACUAUUUUUUGGAUUUCUUGCAAAGGUUGAACAUAAUGAUAGAUGUGGCAUCAGCAUUGGAGUAUCUCCAUCAUGGUUCUUUAAUACCAGUGGUUCAUUGUGACUUGAAGCCUGCUAAUGUGUUAUUGGAUGAAAAUAUGAUUGCACAUGUUAGUGAUUUUGGGAUUUCCAAGCUCUUGGAUGAAGGACAAUCAAAAACUCAUACAGGUUAUAACUUCUUCACUUCUAAGUCAUAUUAUAUCUUAUCAAUUUGAGUUUGUCAGGUCAACUCAGUUGAGAAAAUAAUAACUAAUACAUAUUUUUAUUUAUAAAAAAUUAAAGAUUUUGAUUAAGAAGGGACCAAAUGGAUUGAUAUGGUAUACUGUGUUGUUAUUAUGAAUGAAACAGUAUUUUUUUUUUUUUAAAACAAAAACUAAAACAAUUAUUUUGUAAGAAUAAAAACAAUAACAAAUUUUGAUCAUGAAAACAAGAGAUAGCAAAACUGGUUGAACUUAUUAGGUUGGCAAGUUUUAACCUCACAUUUUAGACGUUUUUUAGGCCAAUUGGUCUAACCAUGAAGACAUCUAUAUUUUGUUUUGUUUUGUUAUUGAUUGGCUAUCAUAACACAAGUAUCAUUGAGAAUAUUUUUAUAACUAGUGAUUAAUGUUCAUAUACAGAGUAUGGAUCUAGCGGAAUCAUUUCAGUUAAAGGAGAUGUGUACAGCUAUGGGAUAAUGCUAAUGGAAAUGUUCACCGGAAAGAUGCCAACAAAUGAAAUGUUUUCAGAAGAAUUAACCUUGAAAACUUGGAUUACUGAAUCAAUGGCGAAUUCCAGUAUGGAAGUUGUGGAUUACAAUUUAGGCUCACAACAUGAGAAAGAAAUUCAUGAUAUCUUAGCUUUAGCAUUGAGAUGUUGUGAAGAUUCACCUGAGGCUCGGAUUAAUAUGACAGAUGUAACUACCUUAUUAAUCAACAUCAAGACUUCACUCAUCCGAUGAAAAAGGAGAUCAAGAAAUAAAAUUUAGUAGUAAGUUAUUAUAUGCUUUUGAAACAUCCCCCUGUUCCUUUAUUCCAAAUGUUGUUUGAAUCUUUUUUUUUUUUCUUUUUUUUUUAAAAGAUCGAUGUUUUGUUUGAAUCUAGAUGGAAUAUAAAACAUUGUUUAAUCGGAAAUUAUAUGUAAUUGGUGCGACCUGACGCUCCUGUUAUGGUAGCAUCUAUUGAAGUUGUACUUCUGUGUAGUUCUAUGCCAUUUUAGAUGCAAAAAUUUCUCCAUUUCCAUUCUAAAAUACUUGCAAUUGCAUCUUAAUAAUAAUACAAAGCAUUACAUACAACUUCAGGAAUCUCAAUUGAAGCAGUCACUAAGAAGAACUGCGAUUAGUUACUUCUUAAACGCAUCUGCGUGGAAACCACAUGUAUCUCCUAACUGUGAAUUUGUUGUGUAUAAGUUGUUGGGGGAGUUCAGCACGCAUCUAAAGCAACAGUCAGCUAAAUGAUCAAAGCUCCAGAAGCCUUAACUUUAUUAACUUACUCACUUUAAAAAAGCCAAAUUUCUAAGUCAUAAAAUAUUUACUUGGACUGUAAAAAAUACAUUUACUUGGAAUUCACUUAUUAGCCAAUUUCAUAUAUUGAUAUUUGACGCUUUAUUUUGAAAUGAUAUUCAAUUCCAUAUCGAUUUCAUUACUUGUUCGGAUCCAAUGUUGAAACUUCUGGAUACAAAAGUUGUACACACAAAUAGUAGAAUCACAAUUUUAGCCAUUUGCAGCCCAACAUGAAAUAAAUGUCAUUAUAUCCACCAGAUAUUUUCCCCCCAAAAUGAAUAUGAAUGUCAUGUCAAAAAACAUAAAUGGAUUAACAACCAACAGAAAAAGGAAAGCUGCAAAUGAAAAUGGAAGUAAGCUGAGUUUUGGGGAAAUUUUGAAGGAAAAAGAAAUAUUCCUAAGUUUAUAACUUGACUUAAAUUUUUGACAUUGAUUAACAACUCUCAUAAAAGGAACAACUAAAAAGGGACGGAUGUAGACUAGACACUGCAGUUGUAACAAAGUGAGUAUUUUUUUGUUUCUAAAAAGACUAUCAUCAAAACUCACACACAUUAAGUGUUGAAAAUCACAAGUUCAAACUCGUGUUUGAGCAUAUCAAAUGUCCCUACAACCGACAAAGUAAGGCUUCUUUAUUUGUACGAAAAAUGUUAAUGCUAAUAUAUAUUAGUAUACCCCUAACAAGAUUUCAGAAUAGAAUAAAAUUUGAUAAUUAAGACAAAAACUCUAGUGAAAGUUGCCGGUGAAAGACCAAGCAUGAGCUACUCUCGAAACAAGAAAGCAAGUAAAUAUAAACAAGGUUAACAAUAAUGCAAUAAAAUAAUAAAUGAUUCAAUGACUUGUUUCUUCAUUUUUUUUUUCUUUGCUCCUUUUAGUGGACACAUUUGACUAAAUAAAUUCCUAUCAAAAUGUAACAAUACACAUUUUUUUUUUCAUUACCGCAAGCACUGUUUAAAAUUCUGAUUAUGACAGUUACCAUAAAGUCACAAACAUCUAGCAACACACUAACAAAUUCAAGUUUUCCUUUUUUUUUAACAUUGUUCAAUUAUAUAUAGAUAGAAAUUUAAUUUAACGCUUCACUUGAAAUUUCAAAUCUGUGGAUAAGGAUCCAGCAGUUCAUGUUCCACCAAAAAUGAUGCCGAUCCAACACCAGCAAGUAUUCCAAAUGCCGAUGCUUGUUUCCAACUGGAUCCGUAUCUGUCUAAUAAUAAGUAAAUCAAAAUGGUAACAUAUUCAAAAAAAAAAAAUUGAAUCAAUCAAGUGCUUAAUUGAAUUGGUUUAUGGAAUUGUGAAGUACCACAUAUGCAAGAUCUAGACAAUGGCAGCAAGAGUUUUCACCACAUAGUAUGCCUAGAAGAAUUGUGCAGACCUGCUUGCUAUAUGCCAAUAUGGCUGCAUAAUAUAUACGACAUUAUUUUAAUUUAAUUAGUAUGUAGACAUUGCCAUCUAGUUUAAUGAAAACAUUACCAUCUAUGAAACAUGAACAUUUAGAAUAUAAAGGCCCGGUCCGUGUUGCACAUGUGUCUCGAUCAAUUAUGUUUUUAGAUAAGCAAAGUUAAUGAAGGGUACAUUUGAGGUAGUUCCAAAUUAAAUCAAGUCAAAUGAGGCAAACGUGAGGGAAGUGACUGAUGACAGUCAGUCAUUCACUUUUUAGAGUUUUUUUAUGAUAUUUUUGAGUUCACAAGCAAGAUUAAGCAGCAAGAAAAACUGAAGAAGCUGAAAAAGGGGAUCGUGUCACGAUUACUGAAAAACGUGACACGGUUUGGAGCUUCAAGAAAUAUGCAUUCGGCAUUGGUGAAAACGUAGCACGAUUAUGGAAACCCUAAUUUUGGUUGUUUGUUACACAAGGAAGAAACGUGUCACAAUUUACUUAAAUCGUGCCACGAUUUUAGGAGCAGUUCUUGCCUAUUUAAGCUGAAGACUAUUCUGAAAACAAGGGUUACGAUUUGGAGAGAGCAAAGUGCGAUUCGAGAUCUAAAGACGGUUAGGAGGGCGAUUUCUUCAACCUUCUAUCAAUUCAUGUAUGUUUUGAUUCCAGUAUUGAUUAUGCUAUUUGUAAACUCAAAUAUGAGUAGCUAAAUCUCUUAGAGAUUAGGUCUGAGAUGAUUCUUUGUAACCCUUAUUGAACCAUGUUGUUGUGAAACUCUAUUUAUUGUGAAUGACAAUCUAGUUUUUAUUCAAUUCAAUUGUUCUUAAUGCUUUUUAUAUCCUGAUCAAAUAUAAACAUAAUUUAGUGAGAAUGAAUGACUACUGACCAUAGCUUUCUACUUAGACAGAAUUGAAUUGUUCUAAUAAUCAUGGUUAGUAUAGGAAUGGAUAAUCCUUUAUUAGUGAUAUUAGGUUAACGUUCUUAAAACCUUCAAAGAUUAUUAGACCACCUAAGGAAUUAGGGGCUGUAGUUUGAGAAGAGGGUCCUAACUCAAGGGAUUGAUUAGGACUAUUUUGUUAACUAUCGUGGAACUAGAAAAUCAUUCAUAUGAAUAGGUGCAGUAUACCAAUUAGGGGAACAUAGAUAAUUUGAAAGACCUGAUCUCAUCUCUCUUCAUAUUUUCUAACCAAAUCUUUAUUUUAUGUUAUUUAAUUUUAUGCAAUCAAAUAAAAUCUAAACAAAAUAAUUUAUACAUCCUGAAUAUUUACUUUAUUUCUAAAUUGAGAUUAACACAGUCCUUGUGAGAACGAUAUUUUUAUUACUUCGAUACGUUUUUACUAAAAUAUCUAUCAGUGACAAUGUGAUAUGCUUACAGCAGCAGUAGAUGAACUUUGAGAUGUAACCUGUUUGUAUUGAAAUGUUUAGCAGUUAGCAUAACAUGGACUCUGAAAAGUUGCUAAUAGUUUUAUAUAAUAUCAAUUUGGAUUGAAACACUGUCUCCUUACCAUAGAAUUUGUUUUACUAAGAAAAAUAGCAAAUUUUAUUACCUUAACGAACAACCAAUAAAGGGAAUCACACUCUUCUUUGAAGGAUGUUAUUUAACAAGAAACUUCCAAUCUGUCAAACCAGCAUAGGCAUAUCUUGGUUUGUGAUACCAGUAAAGUUGAAAAGAACUUGGUUGCAGCUGCGAAGUUGUCUAAAGAGGAAAAACUAACAGAGAAGGCAUCUUUGGAGGGACAUAUUCUUUGUGUGUCCUAAAGCUACAAGAUGUUGGGAAUUCGUGAAGUUGGAAUUGUCAAUGACCUGCAAAUGAUCUUAACUCUUUGCUUUUCAAUAUUUUUGACAGAUUAUCCUCACAUCAGGAAGUGUCGCCAUUGUGAGCUAUGGGAGAAGGCCCUUAAAUACUAGGUGGGACCUUAACUCUUCACUCUUGCAUUACGCUUCAGUAAUGCGCCUAAGUGCUGCAGCAUUUCUGCAGGCUUAAACAAUAAAUUACUUCUUGCAUAAAUUCAACAUAACAUAACUUAAAUCAUUCUAAUCUAUUAAAAAGGACUUCUAAACCUAGUUAAGUAAAUUAAUCUAAAACUACUCAAGUAAAAGACUUUAUCAACUUGCAUAAAUAGGAUAAAAUAAGGUGAAGUAACUCAAAUUUAUAAGAGUUUAAAAUAGUCGAUAGCAAAUCAGCACAACCGACAACCAAGAAUCAACAACAAAACAGUGCUAGUAAAAUUGACAAGCCAACACUAGCAGAUGUUUAUCGACCUCUAGCGACAGCGCUAAAAAUUACUAACUUAGGAAUAGUAAUUUCCAUGAAUGUGGCUUUGCACGUCAGUUAGUUAGUUACCUAGUUCUCUUUCUCUGUCUCAGGAUCUAAGUAUGCUUCCAAUAUUUUAACUUUCUUUAAGUUCCCUGCAACUUACAUUUUGUGAUAAAACUUUUAUAUUUCUUUGCAAUUUAUUUUCAAGCAAUUUAAUUCCAAGUCCUUUAAACUUUCAAGCAUUACUAUUUCAAGUCAUUUAUUUUUCAGCAAACUAUAGAUUUUGUUCAAUUUAUGUUAUGUCUUUUUAAAGUUUUCUCUAAAUUCAAGUCAAUGUACGUACGUAUCUUAUCAUUUUAUCUUCAUAGUUUAUAUGAUUGUCUUUAAUUUCUUCACAAUUUUAUUUUCGUCUCCGUUUGUUCUUUAAAAAUAUGUAAACUCUCACAAACUAUUAUUCGAGUCAAGAACUUUAUAAAAAUCCACACAGUCACACACACACGUAAGGUCUCAUAAGUUCCCAAUUAACUUGACUAAGAUCCAAUGAUCACACUCAUUAAACUUUCAUUUAUGGUCGAUUUGACAUGCUUGACCGUUAACCAAAACUAUCCUAAAGAAUGAUAUUAAUCUAUAUAUUUUUGAUAUAUAUAGUAAACAAAAUAAAUAAAUACAGGGUUAAACAUGUAUAAGAGUUAAUCAAGUAUAUAAUUUUAAAAUUUGAAAAUUUUCUUUAGAUAUAAUAACAUAAGUUAAGUCUCACUAUAGUUUAUCUGAUUCACCAAAAAGGAUGAACUUUUGUUGUCGAAUUAAUUAACCAAAGCUCAACUAGUCAUAAGUUAUUCUUAUUUUAGCUCAUUUGUUUCAGAAAAGAUAUAUAACUAUUGUCGACCAGUGAACUAACCACAAUUCAAUUGUUCAUUUGUGAAGUUUCAUUGCAAUUUAUUCGAUUCAAAAGAGAGACUGAACCCUUUUCGAUCAGUGAAGUUUAAAUACCUAAUUGACGUGGUUUGACUACCAUAAAAAAUUGUAAUCCUUUUUUAUUUUAUUUUUAUAAAAAUACAUUUUACAAUCUUAAUAAAAAAAAUAUUUAUUUUAUAUUCAAUCCAUAAAAAAAGCAUUCACUUUUAUAUAACCCAAAGUUUAAGUAUUUUGAAAAAAUAAUUUGUCAAAUUAAUAAUUAUUUUGAAUGAAUUUUCAAAAUAUUCAUUUUUUCUAAUGUUUAAUAUUAUCCAAGCAAAGCAAGGCACACAUUUUUUGUAUAAAAUCGAAAGUACACUGUAUUAUGUAAAAAUUAGAAUGUUUCAUAUAUAUAUAUAUAUAUAUAUAUAUACUUUGUAAACAAAAAAUAAAGAAUGUUUAAUUAAUACUUCUUUAAAAUGAAUACUAAAAAAUGAUUUCCCAAGUUAUACGUUUUCCCAAGGUUUAAUUAUAUACGUGGUUGGUUUCAAGUUAAGACAAAAUAUAUUGUGCAUUAUUCCCAGCUUCAUCACCUUUGUUAUUUGUCUGUUCCCUCCAAUGCCUGAAAGACUUGUUUAGCCCCCAAAUGACCAGCUUCUCAACACCAAGUCAAGUCUACAGUCUGCAGCAUGAAGCCAUAUUCACGAUAAGUCUGAUUGUUACAUAUUCUGAAUUUCCACCAACUCCACAAUUGAAGUGAAUGAGACUGUUUUGUCAUUGAGUUCAACCCCAGCAAAGGUUUCAAGAAAUUUCACGAACUAUUCAUUCGUCAUAUGUGCUUAUAAUUUGGGAUGGAAAAACUGUGAAAUUCUCUUGAUCUUGCAACAGAAUAAGGGUCUUUGGACUUCUAACGAGUUCUGCCUUGUUUAACAUUCCAAAUUCUCUUGACUUUUACUAAGUUUUCUAGUGCAACAAGGCCGAGAGACACUCAUAACUAAAUUUUCCUACACUCCAAAAUUAUAAGCACCUAUUUUAAUUAAGAUCAAAACAAUUGUCCGGAAGUAUAAGCGCCUUUUAAAUUGAUAAAUGUAUUCGAUUAUUAUUCUUGAAUAAGUGAUAUAUCUAGUUUAUAUCUAUAAUAUAGAUAAAGGACGUUGCUUAUUCAAUGAAUAAAAAAAAUGAAUUUUUUUAUUAUUAUAAUAAUGAUGAGAUGCAGUACAUCUAUGACAAUUGCUAAUAAAUGUUCUGAACCGGUCAACGACCUCAGCCCAAUUACUUAGGCUCAAUAACAAAUCAAGUUGCUGUAUUUGACAAUUUACUCGCAACAAAUCAAGAAAGAAGGAAGAGGUUUUUUGAAAAUUAAAUUUUAUGUAAGAAUAAUUUUGUCAUUUUAGAGUGUAACCAGGAUUAUAGUGUAAUUAGAAAAACUCAAGUAAUUAUUAUCCAAGGUACACAUUUUUUUUUAUGAAAUAGAAAGUACACUAUAUUAUGUAAAAUUAGACCUUUGAUAUAUAAUACUCUCUCCGGUCCUAUUUAUAAGAAAAAGUUAACUUUUUAGAUUCAUUGAGUAAUUAAUGUAUUUGGUAUAGAAUAUAGGCUAAAUACAUAAUUUAUACUUUGAAUCAAAAAAGUCAAAUAUUUCUUAUAAAUAAGAUCGAAGGAAAUACAUGUUUAAAAUGAAUGAUUCAAAAUCACAGUAUCGUGUAUUAUCCCCCAAUUAGACCUCUAUGCAUUCCCCAACUCGUACGUUUUCCUGAUCUUUAUUUUGUGGUUCCUUUCAAGUUAAGACAAAACAUAGUAUUGUGUAUUAUCCCCCACUUAUUUAUGUGGCCUCCAACGCCGCAAAGACUUUGGUUUAGCCCCUCAUUGACUGGCUUAUCAACACCAAGUCAUUAUAUCACAUCACAAUAUACUUCAUCAGUAAUAUAUUUUUAGGUCAUAAGUAAUGUAUUUUUUUUAAGGAAUUAGUGUAUAUGUUUUAUAAUAUAGAAUAAAUACAUUAUUUAUUAAAUAAAUUUAAUUUAAUUUUAAUAAUAAAUAUAAAAGGAAGCUAAAUGCGGAGUGAUGAAACAUUACUUAUUCAAUGAAAAUCACAACUCAAUAUAUUAAAGGUAGGGAUGUAAAUAGAUAUCCAUGAUGCGGAUAGUGUGAUAUUUGUGUGCGCUCUGUCAGAUAAAUAUGAAAUCCGUAUUCUAUCCAUAUUCAUGCGGAUAUCCGUUUAGCGGGUAAUCCACGGAUUUUGAGGUAUCCGCGGAUUUUUACAGAUAUCCAUGGAUAACAUUUAUAAAAAUAAAAUAAAAAAUUUGUUUAAUUUUUUUUUAGCUAAAAUUUAGAAACAAAGGUUCUUCACAUGCAUUUUCUUUUCUUUUUAGCAAAACAUAAUAUUCAUACAUUACAAUAACAACAAAGAUCAUUGACUCAACAAAAACAUAAAUAAUGUCCCUUACAUUUAAUAAAAAUAAAGUUAUUUGAUUUAACAAAAAUAUAAGUAAAACUCAUCAUAUUCAACAAAAACAAAGCUUUUGCUUCAACAAUCCCAACCACUUUCACUUUCUUUUAAAGGAGCGUAAUAAUUGAUAACACUCACAAUACCUAUCGUGUUUUCUUAGAAAGUUGAAUGAUAUUGAGGUUAUUUAUGUAAUUUAUUUGGUUUAAUAGCGGGUAUGGAUAUCUGCGGGUGUGGAUACCAUUAAAUCCGCAUUCGUAUCCAUUAAUUAGCGGGUAGUUAAAAAAUUCAUUUAUUUUAUCCAUGGAUAUCCAUUAAGGUAUCCGCUCUGUGUCCGUGGCAGAUUUUAUCCGCGGAUAUUACGGGUGCGGAUUUUUUUGCCAUCCAGGUGUAUGUUGUCAUUUAAUAUCUAAACUAUACUUACAGGACAAACGACACUUGGUAAUUGUGAGGAAAAAAUAACGCAUGCAGUAUAUAAUAUAAAUAUCCUCCUUGGUGCUUAGACACUCAUGCAUGCAUCCUAUUGAAAAUGGCCAAGUUAUACUCUUUUCACUCUUUGCUCUUUAUUCUCUCUGCCUCACUCUAUUAUUACCUCUUCACUUGCUUAGCUAUGAUUUCUAAAACCAUCACCACAGAUGAAUUUGCACUUCUUGCAUUCAAAUCCUCAAUUACCUUAGACCCUUAUGAUAUUCUUAGUAAUUGGUCAAUUUCCUCUUCUACUUCUUCUUUCUCUUCAUGCAAUUGGGUUGGUGUUACUUGUGAUGAACAUCAUGGAAGAGUGAAUGCAUUGGAUCUUAAUAACAUGGACCUUGAAGGUACAAUUUCUCCUCAAUUGGGAAAUCUUUCUUUCCUUGUUGUUCUUGAUUUACAAGGCAAUAGUUUCUAUGGUGAGUUACCACAUGAGUUACUUCAGUUGAAGAGAUUGAAAUGGUUGGAUUUGAGUGACAAUGAUUUUGUUGGAGAAAUUCCUUCAAGGAUAGGGGACUUAGCAAAACUUCAUCAUUUGGAUCUUUACUUUAAUAAUUUUGUUGGAGCUAUUCCUCAAUCUAUAUCCGACUUGUCAAUGUUACGGUACCUAGAUUUGAGUACAAAUUUCAUCAAAGGAACCAUUCCACAUGCCAUUGGUCAACUUGGUAUGUUGAGGAUUUUGGAUAUUAGAAAUAACAAGCUCUGUGGAAUCCUACCAACAACAAUAUCCAACAUGUCUUCACUUGAAGAAAUUCAUUUAGCAAAUAACUCCUUAUCGGGUAAGAUAAGAUAUAUUCACUUUAUUUAUUACACGUGUGUGGAUACUUUGCACUGUGCAGCAAACCACAAAGUCGUUGAUCAAAAUCGUUAUUCACUUUAUUCAUUUCGAUCUAACGGUUGUGUAAGUGCGUGCAGUGUAAGGUGUCAUAGGGAAAUUAAAUUCAAUUUUAAACACCAUAUAUGAACCUUUCAUUUAUAUCAUGAAGGACCGAGAGACCGCUAAUUAAGCCUUCUUUAGACCCUUGUAUAAAUGAAUGUGCAUUGCAUGGUAACUAUAAUAUAUGAAUCAUUCUAAGUAAUUCUAAUUAAUGAAUGUAUUUCCUCUAUCUAUCUAUAUGUGUUGAACUAAAGGAGAAAUUCCAAAAGGAAUUGGUGAUCUUACAGAACUGAACACGGUCAACCUUGAAGAUAAUUUGCUCACAGGCAACAUAUUAAUGUUCAACAACACAUCAUUGCAAUACUUAUAUCUUGGAUAUAAUAAUAUGACCGGCGUUCUUCCAUCAAAUGUUUGUCAAUGGCUUCCAAACCUUAGAUUACUCUAUCUUUUUCAUAAUGAUUUUUCUGGUGAGAUUCCAAAUGUUUGGCGUGAUUGCAAAGAGUUGGAAGAUUUGCAACUAUCCGGGAAUAAUUUUGACAAAGGACGUAUUCCGGCUGAUAUUGGAAAAUUGAUCAAACUUCAAGUUUUGUAUCUCGCAGAAAACAACUUCGAGGGUAAGAUAUUUGUGUCAAUAUAUAUAUAUAUAUAUAUAUAUAUAUAUAUAUAUAUAUAUAUAUAUAUAUAUAUAUAUUAAUUGUUUAUUUUUUUAAAUAUUAAGUUUUUAUUUAUUGUUUCCUUAAAGUUAAAAAUGUUGCCAUUGAUUUUGAUUUUUCCUAUGAUCAUGCCAACCAUUGUUUUCUAAUAGUUAUCCACUCAAAGAUAGUGGAAACAAUGUCUCCAAAUAAGUUGCAUUCCCCACAUUUCAACGUAAAGUGUGUCGCAUGUUCUAAUUUUACGAGAGUACUUUUAAGUUGUAUGCCAUAUGAGUUUCGAAAUAGUUACCAUAAUCAUCUAGACCCAAAAAAAUCCAUGUAUGCUAUUUCAUAGUUAUACUUUAUUUGAUAUGUUAGAUAAAAGAGCAUGACUUAAAGAAUUUCAUUAAAAAAUGUGUUCCCCUCAAAAAUAAUUAAGUGUAAUAUUUUUUGACGCAGUUAGGUAUAUUAUAGGGAAAACACUAAUAAUUUCAUUCCUUAAAAAAAACUAAUAAUUUUAUUUUUUUUGUCAAGUAGCCUAGUGGUUAGAGCUCACACAAUUUAAUUGUGGAGAAGUGGGAUAUCCAGGAUUCGAACCGUGGCCCCUGCAUAUCAUAUGCAAUAUCCUACCAACUGAAUUAAGCUCACGGGAAUAAAAACUAAUAAUUUCUUCAAUAGUAACAAUAUUUAUUAGUUUUAUUGGUGUGUACGUAAAUAACUUUAAUAAAAUAAUUAAAAGAGAAUGAAUAUAAUAAUAGACAGAACUAUUUAUAAGUGUCAACUAUUCAUCUUCCCCUCUCCUGAUUUCGACACUUUGACAACAUUGACAAACUAUCCACUUCCCAUGGCCACAUUCAAUUACGAUAUUUAGUAUUUAUUUUAUUUUUAAAAAAUAUUAAGUUUUUAUUUAUUGUCUCUUUAAAGUUACUACAUUGCCUAAAAUAUUUGAGUAAAUUACACUCCCCUCCCCAAUGACGGAUCUUGAAAAUUUUUGUUAGGGGUGCCAAAAAGUAUGUAUUAUAUAUUAAACGGUUUCAAGUUAAAAAAAAAAUAAGUAAGUAACAGGUCAAGUUGUUGAUUAUCUUGGAUCAUUGUGAAGGGGAGCCGGUUCAACUCCUCUUCCAAACACUUUUUUUGAUUAAAAUAAUAAAAUUACAGUAGAAUUAUUAAAAAUAAGCGGGGCGUGGGACUCAAACCCGCAACUUUUAGGUGAAUGACAAGCCAUCUUUCCACUGCAACCAAGGGAAACAUGUUGUUUUAAUUGGCCUAAUAUGAUAUAUAUAGGAAAGUUAGGGGAUACCAUGACACCUGGGGUCUCCAAAGAGAUCCGCCCCUGCCCAUUCUCUCCCCUCAAAGUUGCUUGAAUUACACUCACCUCCCUCUUAUGUUAAAUUAUACACUCAUCUUCCCUCUUAUUUAAAACAUAUUAGAAAACAUUUCACUCCUCUCUCCUAAGAAAAGCUUGAAUUAUAUUCUCCUCCAUUCUUAUGUUAAAAUCUACACUUUACUCCCUCAAUAUUUUUUUUAUUUUUAAUAAUCUAGCAAAAAAAUAAAUAAUCUAACACACUUCGAAAAAAAAAUAGUAAUGCGGGUCUAUUUUAAUAUAAUCAAAAUUUGAAUACAUAUUUUUCGCUAUUUUUUAUUCACAAUUUCAUUAACAUAUAUUUUUAAACCCUAUUAUAAAAUAUGAAACAACCAAAGAUAAAAUUAAAAUAUGUGAAAAAUUACCAAAGACAAUAAAGUAUGGUUAUUUAAAGGUUAAUUUUAUACUAUAAAUUAUAAAAAUCAAUAGUAAAAUGUUUAAAUUUAAUUAUCAUUGACAUUUAAAUUAAGAAAUGAAUAUAUUUUUCUUAAAUGGUGGUUCAAAAUUAGUAUACAUCAUAAAAAUAUUUAUUUAUGUUAAAAUAGGUUAAAGUGUAGUGUAUAUUUAAAUAUUAAGGAAGAUCAAGAUUUGUAAGGUUUGAGUGUCUUUUUCAAUUGGUGCUUUUUCAAUUGGUGCUUUUUGUUUCUAUCAAUUAUCCAUUUGUUGAUUCACGAAGGUGCCAUUGUAUUCAAUUCUUUUGCCUUCAAACAAUUGAUAAAUUAGUCCAGUCAAUUGGUGUUCAUUGGGUUCAGUGCUUUAUGAAAACAAUCGCAACAAAAAUUGAUUAUUCACGUCAAUUUCAAUUGUCAAUUUUGAGACCUAGAAUCGGUUUGGUGAAUUACACUCAGACCCCAGAUGGCAUUCACGUGCCCAUGGCCGUGUGUGUCCGACACCGCACCUUCCGCAUCAGCUACUUCUACAGCAACGGUACCACCAAUUUCAGUGACAACUAAAUCAUUUGCAGCAGUCCUAAGGGGUCCAAAAGUGAUUGACGACAGUCCUCUACCUACUCCAUGCCUCAAGGGAGAUGCUUUGAGUAUCAAAAUUUGCCAGGAAGAGUACCAUAGGGGUGUAGAUGAAUGCAAGAAUGCGUUAAGGGUUCGUUUGUCUCUUAACAAGGGAGAUAAGCCAUACUCUGCACGUGCCUUAAGCGAUAAAAUCGGAAAGCUUUGGAAAACAUUGGCUGGUUGGAAAAUGGUGCCUCUCGGCAAAGGUUACUAUGACUUUCAUUUUGACUCGGCUGACGAUCUAAGGAAGAUAUGGGCAGCAGGCACAAUUAACCUCAAGCCGGGCUUGUUAAAGUUAUCACAAUGGACCAAGGAUUUCAAAUAUCUGGCUCAGAAACAGACUCAUGUAUCUCUUUGGAUUCGCUUGGUGGAGUUACCGCAGGAGUAUUGGUGGGAGAGAACCUUGAAGGAAAUUGCAAGUGCGGUUGGUACUCCGAUUGACAUAGAUGGACCGACACGAAACCGUACUUUUGGACAUUAUGCUAGAAUUCUUGUCGACAUUGAUCUUUCUAAGAGAGCUUAUGAUGAAAUACUUGUCGAAAGAGAGGGCUUCGCCUUCAAAGUUGAGGUGCAAUAUGAGAGGAGACCUUUAUUUUGUCAUCAUUGUUAUUCUAUUGGACACAACGUCUCCUCAUGUCGUUGGUUACAUCCGCAACCACCGAAAGACAAGAAUGAUCAUGGGAAACAAAUUGUUGUUGCCGAGGCAGCCCCUAUUCUUUCUACUCGGCAAAACAAAAGCAGCAAUGAUGUGGGUGCUUCGACAUCGGCCAAUGGUAACAAUGGUACAUGGGUUCCAAUACCGGUUGUUUCGACUGUUACUACCACUCAGAGGGUACCGGUGUCCGCAACUACUACAUCUGCACCUACAUCAUCGAUCUCAACUUCACUGGCAUUACCGGCUUCAUUUCCUACCCCUACAUCGACUAUCAGUUCACAGUUGACGCCGGUUGUUUUAUCUACUGUGGCUAAUUCUCAAUUUGACAGGUCUAAUAAUUUCAGCAUCCCAUUACACAAUGUGUUUGAUAUAAUCACUCCUAGAGAGUUGCAACUAAAUAUGCCAGUGCUAGAGCUUGUUUCCCCUGUAGCGCACGAUGACGUGCAACCUGUAGAAGUGAGGAAUCCGACAUCGAGGGAGGUGUUGAAGAACCCCUUGGUAAUUGUAGCUACUGAAUCACUUAUGGAUAGUGUAGAACAUAAUUAUAUGAGCCCGCGGGAGCUGGUGGAGAGUCCCAAGGUCUCUAAUGAGCGAGGAACACACUCAUCCCUUCUUGAGUGUGAGGACAUACGAUCUAACGGAGUGGGACAGACAACUCAGACAUCACGGGAGGUAUUGGAGAACCCCACGGUUGAUGAUGUUUCUGAACCACUUCAGGAUGGUGUGGAACAUGAUCAUGUGAGCCCACAUGAGCUGGGGGAGAGUCCCAAGGGUGCUCGUGAAAGUGUUCCAAGACCAUCCCCUGUUGAGCAUGUUGACAUGCAGGAAGUGUUUGAGGAAGUUUUGAUGGACACAGAUGUUGAAGAUAUAGAGGUGCUUGUUGGAUCAAAUCUCAUGCAAUCUCCUUUGUUUGCGACAUCAACCAUUGUUGAUGGUGGUUUGCGACAUCAACCAUUGUUGUAUGAUAACCGAUGGAUCGUAUGUGCUUUUUGACUUCCCCACUCCGUCUCUGACUUCUUAUAAAAAAUAAAAUCUUGUUUUUUUUUUUCGUUCAGAAAAAAAAAUUGCCAUUUUUUUGGACUGGAUAUUGUCUUGUCUCUUUUUAUAAAGAAUAUUUGAAAAUUUAACAUGCAUUAAGAAAAUUAGGCUGUGUUUAAUUUAUUUAUUUUGUAUAUAGAUAUUUCAAAAUUAUACUUUAUUUUCUUUGGGUAAUAAAAGAGAGCUAACACCAAAAAUAUGAAAGAACUAUAGAACUAUAUGCAGUGGCGGAUCUUGAAAUAUAGGGGUGCCAAAAAUUUGUAACAUAUAGAUAUAAGUUGUUUCACAUAUUAGAAACAAAUUGUAACAUGGUAUUGUGGUUCAUUGCAUUUUAAUACUAACCUCAUGAGCAGUGGUUUGAGUUCUAGCAAUGCUCUUUUUGCAAAUAAAAAUAAAAAUGCAUUUGUAACAUCCAUAGCUCUGUAGCGAGGGCGUUUUCUGGAGCCACAUCAACUGCCUGUUUACAAAAAUCACAUGAUUUUUUCCACUGCUUUGAGGGAAACUCAAUCUCUCUUUCAAAAUGACAAAUACCAUUUUUGGUCCUUUUAGUUUAUUAAUAAUUAAGUUUCAAUUAGGUCCUUUUAGUUUGACAAAAUUUUUAAAUUAGUCCUUUAAGUUUCAAAUAAGUCAUUUUAGUUUGACAAAAUUCACAAGUUACUCCUUUAACUUUCAAAAGAUUUUAACUAAAAUGACUUAUUUGAAGGUUUUGAAACGGUGAUGGUGAAAUAAUUUAUCAACUAAAAAGACAUAUUUAAAACUUUCGAUACUUAAACACUAACUUAUGAAUUCUGUGAAACUAAAAAGACAAAAAAUGGUAUUUGACCCUAAGACCCUUUCAAAACUAGGAGACAUGGUCACAGAAACAAGGAAAUUAAUCUCAAGUUGCAAUACAAUUUCAGUCCUGGUUGUUUGAUGAGCAUGAAGUUUCUCCAACGGAAGAAACAAACGCAAUUUUUAUGUUAUCAGUUGGCAAUAGGAUGUACUGUUUUUAAGUUUUCUCCUUUAGCUAAUUAUCAUCAAAUCAUAAUUUUAAACUUUUUAUGUUUAAACACAGGUGAAAUUCCAUUGUCCCUCUUCAACAUCUCUUCUUUGAGAGUGAUCAGCCUUCGUAGUAACAAUUUAAAUGGAACUCUUCCACGAUCGAUUGGCAACUGCACAUUUUUACAAAAGUUAUAUUUCACUAAUAACUUUUUUACAGGUAUAUAUACCCUUAACUUUUUUACACCAUGCUUCUUCAUCAUCAUAUACAUGUGGUUUUGUUUAUUUGUUUUUUCUCUAUGAUAUGUGAUGUUAGGUUCAAUACCAAAGGAGAUUGGCCAUCUCAAUCAACUUCAGCUUCUAUUUAUGAAAAAUAACAGCUUGAGUGGGCCUAUUCCUUCACAAGUCUUCAACAUUUCAACAUUGAAAUAUUUGCGUCUUGAACUAAAUUCUUUCUCAGGCAUGCUUCCAUCAAAUUUUGGAUUUGGACUUCCUAACCUACAAUUCCUCCAAAUGUAUGGAAACAAAUUUGUUGGAAAAAUUCCAAAUACUAUAUCCAAUGCUUCAAAUCUCUUUUCAGUUAGCUUUAGCGAUAAUGAAUUUAGUGGAAUUAUUCCCAAUUCUUUUGGGGAUUUAAGACAACUCCAAUUUCUCAACUUAGCUGACAAUAAUUUGACAGUAAUUGAUGAUUCUCUUCAAUUCAACUUCCUUACUUCACUUACAAGUUGCAGAUAUCUGAAAUAUCUUGAAGUAUCAGGGAAUAGUUUACCAUCAAAACUUCCCAAGUCCAUUGGAAACUUAUCCGUAGAACACUUUCAGGCAGAAUCUUGUGGAAUUAUUGGAAAUAUUCCACUAGAAAUCAGAAACAUGAGCAACCUUAUUGGAUUAUCUUUGAGGGAUAAUGAUUUAAAUGGAUCAAUCCCUGGUGUAAUUAAAGGGUUACAUAAACUUCAAUAUUUAGAUCUUGGUUACAAUGGACUGCAAGGAUCCAUGAUUGAUGAGCUUUGUGAAAUUAAGAGUUUGAGUGUAUUGUAUUUAUCAAGCAAUAAGCUUUCUGGAGUGUUACCAACAUGUUUGGGAAAUAUGACUUCUCUUAGAAAGUUUCACAUAGGAUCUAAUAGGUUAACCUCUGCGAUACCUUCCUCAUUUUGGAAUCUCGGAGAUAUUUUAGAGGUAAACGUAUCCUCCAAUGCUUUAAUUGGAAAACUUCCACCUGAGAUUAAGAAUUUGAGAGCUGUUAUACUGUUGGACUUGUCAAGAAAUCAAAUUUCAAGCAACAUUCCAA
RNAcentral lists this long non-coding RNA (17804 nucleotides) under Medicago truncatula (barrel medic). RNAcentral describes it as "long non-coding RNA (MTRU_LNC008049)". The record is from RNAcentral. Lineage: Eukaryota; Viridiplantae; Streptophyta; Magnoliopsida; Fabales; Fabaceae.